CGAUUCCCCCGCGGUGAAAAGAGGCCACCCAUCUCCUCCCAAUUCCCAGCCGCCGCCGCCACCACAUCCUCUCUCCUCCCCUGACGUCUCCUUUUUCCCCUCCUCUCCUCGCAACGGCCUCCUCCUUCCUGCACCGCCUCUUCCUCUCUUGCUGAUGGCGCCACCCGCCGGUCGAUGCCUCCUGUCUUGCCCUUUCCAUUGGGAGGUGGAGAUGGGAAGAUGGCGUUGGAGGAGGAAAACGAGAUCCAGGCAGUGGAAAGAUGGCGUUGGAGGAGGGAGCACGGGUGGGCGCCGCAGCUGAAGCACGAGUGGCCUGGUUGUGGCGGAGCAUGGCGGGAGUCCGGGCGGCGUCGUGGUCGUGGUCAAGAGGAGAAGCACGGGUGGCCGCCGUAGCUGAGCUUCUAUGUAACAUAGUUCCGAUGAAUCCUCUGCCGCAUCUGGCCUCUGCAGAUUCGUUUUUGUAUCUACCUAUAAGGCGUUCGAUGAAAAUCCAAGCUGCUGCAGUGGCAGAUUACGCCGUCCGCUUGCAUGCUGAGCCAUGUUGCGCUCUCCUGUUCUUUUUUGUUGGCUUGACGUACGCACUGGCAACCUCUUAUGUGAGGGCUUCAGCAUGCCUCUAUUUGAGAGAAAAGAUAUGGAGAAGCGGAUUUUCAGAGUGUCUCAGGCACACAAGCUAAAGGUUCACCAAGUUCAGGGAAAGAAAAGUUUCCCUAGACAGGUGGCGGCGGCGGUCAAGACAAGUGCGGCGUUGUGAGCAACGGCCCUCGAUCGUCUUCCUUGUGGAUUCAGGUACACGUCGUCCAUCUUGGCCCAUCGUGGGUGUUGGCGGGCGACCAGAGGCGGCUACAGCAGGCCAGUGUCUGUGAUCAAGACUGACACCGGGAAGGCUGCCGGUCUACAGUUGUGCGCUCGAUUCAAAUGAUUAUUCUCCGUUCUUUUCCUCAGAACUACAUAUGAGAGGUACAAUGGAUUGGCCAAGAUACUCAAUUAAGCUAUUCGAUUUAAGGUAUACUUGUAUCCCUUCCUUCUAUCCUUUUUGUUCAUCUUCUCAUGUGUAUUGUUAGCUUUUUCCCAAGCUUUUUUUAUCUAGAAUCUCAAAUAUAAGUAUAUUUUGCUGAUUAGUGAGUAAAUCAACCGGCAAUAGUUGGUAUAUAUUUGUUGUAGGUUUGAUGUCACCUAUUAAUUCUUUUUUUUGAGAUGCUCUAUUUUUACAAUGCAGAAUUUGUUUCUUCAUAACUAUAUUACCGCUUACAUUGCUGGCAAUGGAAACUAAAGAAAAUACUAUGGUCUAUCUAUGCUACAGCUGUUUAGCUAAUUGGAUCUGGUCUCCUUGAGCGGAUGUUUAUUUGCUUACUCAUUUCUGCUCUUCUUCCUGUAUGUGAAGUGAUACAAUUGUAUUCCAUUGGUGUCAACUUACUUUUCGUGAACUAAUUCUGUAAUGAGUACACAUUGGUCUCUCCAGAGGUCCUCUAUAUUCAUGGUAGUCUUCCCCUAUUGUUGCCUAGGUUCAUAUGCAUAUGCAUAUGUGCUUACUUUAAGGUUAUUAUUGCCCAUGUUUUGCAACUUGAGGUUCACCUUGAUCUAAUGCCAGACCGUCUACUUCAAUGAGUUGCGAGAUAGUGGCUAUUUUUUUACCAGAGUCAUUUGAAAUGAGAAAGAUCUGCAUCAUACGUUGGCCAGAGAUAGUUAGUGUUUUGCACAAUAUAUAAUCGUCAGAGUCAUUUGAAAUGGGAAACAUUUAAUUAGUGAUAAAUGUUUUCUGCUCACUUCCGCUUCACGGCUGCAUUGAGGACAUGAAUUGGUAGCUAGAGUACUAUACUAGAUUUGGUGCAAAUUGACAUGUAUUUAACAGUCUGUUGCUUUAACGCUAGAUAAUGGAUGCAUUUUGAUGGAUCACAGCAUGCUCUAUGGUGUUGUGGAUCACCUGGAUAUCUUCUGAUAUUCAUCUUUCCAUGCUGCAACAAGGAGGGUGUAUGAGCUUAGAGAGUUAGUGUCCUUUCUCGUGACUGUUCAAAUAAGGUGUUUUUUUUUGUGAUCACAAAUUUGAUCAUAUAGUGUCCUAUAUGAUUCAUGUUUCUUAUUUAAUUACAAGUGAUGAAGACAUAUGUUGCAGCUGAAAUGAUUGCCCUUGCAUCGUGCUAAUUAAAUCACAUCUGCAUUUUGAUAAUCCCAGAAUCUGAUUAUUAGGCAUAGAAGUGAGAAAACUUCCACGAUGAAGUGACUGCUUCACAUGCACAUGGCUUGCCUGAUAUAAUCACGACCCCUGUUCAAGAAUUCAUCUGAUUAACCAGUUAACUUGCUGCUUAAUCCCUACUCGUAGGGUCACCGAGUAGCCAGUUAACUGAUUAAUCGCUUGAGUAAUUGAUUAAAUGGCCGAUUAACUUGCCGAUUAGCCUAUUAAUCCCCUACUCGUCAGCUAACCGAGCAGCUACCAGUUAAUGAUUUCCUCAACAAUGAUCACGACCUUCGUGUGUGAUCUGGAGAGGCCUGAGAUAGUUCAGGGUCUUGAACAUGGGCAAAAGCAGUCGACAUGACUGAUAUUACCGUACGAGUGCAUCAGAUGAAGCUUCUUGAUUACCUGCAGAAAAUCAGCACCGGGCAGGUGUUCGGGACUGUCGUUGCUGUUGUCCACACCGUGGAGUUCCAAAAGAGGGGUCUGCCCCAUGCACUUAUCCUUGUUUGGCAGCAGAAGAACAGUGCCCAGGGAUCUAAACUGACUGAUGUUGAUGAUGGUACUCCUGCCACUGCACUUGCUAAGACCAUGGAAACUACACUUGCUCAGCCACCAGACUUAAAAUGGGUGCUGUUGCUACUACAAAGACCGGUUCAUCAAAAAAAAAUUAGUAGCUGAUCCAUGCUUGGGGAUAAGCAUGCGUGGUUGAUUUGUAUAUAGAAGCUUGAUGCCUUGACCCUCGCUACUUCCACCCUCACUGCUAAGGGCGCCGUCCACAAGAACAAGUGAAGACUGCUUCAUCGUCGCUGUUUUCAAGACCUUAUCUUUGCACCCUUUUGAACAAACUACUGCUGUGUUGCUGCCGUGUUCACAAAUGAGGUCUUUGGCGCUCAUAGAGUCAUGCCAAACAUUUGUUGAUGCAUUUCCCUGUUUAAGAUCCGAACUAAGCUACUUCCAUGUCUUAUAAAUGCCAUCGUUUGCCUUUUGAACGAUGCUAUGUUGCUUUUCCAACACUGCGGUUAUGCCCC
This is a long non-coding RNA of Triticum aestivum (bread wheat), 3201 nucleotides long. RefSeq lists it as uncharacterized. The record is from RefSeq and is a predicted model, not a curated record. The transcript is spliced from 9 exons. NCBI's taxonomy places the organism in Eukaryota, Viridiplantae, Streptophyta, Magnoliopsida, Poales, Poaceae.